RNAcentral lists this ribosomal RNA (732 nucleotides) under Zasmidium gupoyu. RNAcentral describes it as "eukaryotic LSU rRNA". It matches the Rfam family "Eukaryotic large subunit ribosomal RNA", at positions 99 to 867 of the family's 3401-position model. Lineage: Eukaryota; Fungi; Ascomycota; Dothideomycetes; Mycosphaerellales; Mycosphaerellaceae. The record is from RNAcentral.
CGGCAACAGCUCAAAUUUGAAACCUGGCGCAAGCCCGGAUUGUAAUUUGCAGAGGAUGCUUCUGGGCAGCGGCCGGUCUAAGUUCCUUGGAACAGGACGUCACAGAGGGUGAGAAUCCCGUAUGUGACCGGCGCGCACCCUCCACGUAGCUCCUUCGACGAGUCGAGUUGUUUGGGAAUGCAGCUCUAAAUGGGUGGUAAAUUCCAUCUAAAGCUAAAUAUUGGCCAGAGACCGAUAGCGCACAAGUAGAGUGAUCGAAAGAUGAAAAGCACUUUGGAAAGAGAGUUAAAAAGCACGUGAAAUUGUUGAAAGGGAAGCGCUCACAACCAGACUCCGCGGCGGUGUUCCGCCGGUCUUCUGACCGGUCCACUCGCCGCCGUGGGGCCAACAUCGUCUGGGGCCGCCGGAUAAGACCGCAGGAAUGUAGCUCAUCGAGUGUUAUAGCCUGCGGUGAUGCGGCGCGCCCCGGGCGAGGUCCGCGCCUCGGCAAGGAUGUUGGCGUAAUGGUUGUCAGCGGCCCGUCUUGAAACACGGACCAAGGAGUCUAACAUCUAUGCGAGUGUUCGGGUGUCAAACCCCUACGCGUAAUGAAAGUGAACGGAGGUGGGAAGCUUCGGCCGCACCAUCGACCGAUCCUGAUGUCCUCGGAUGGAUUUGAGUAAGAGCAUAGCUGUUGGGACCCGAAAGAUGGUGAACUAUGCCUGAAUAGGGUGAAGCCAGAGGAAACUCUGG